AGCCUGAUGCAGCAACGCCGCGUGAGGGAUGACGGCCUUCGGGUUGUAAACCUCUUUUAGCAGGGAAGAAGCGAAAGUGACGGUACCUGCAGAAAAAGCGCCGGCUAACUACGUGCCAGCAGCCGCGGUAAUACGUAGGGCGCAAGCGUUAUCCGGAAUUAUUGGGCGUAAAGAGCUCGUAGGCGGUUUGUCGCGUCUGCUGUGAAAUCCCGAGGCUCAACCUCGGGUCUGCAGUGGGUACGGGCAGACUAGAGUGCGGUAGGGGAGAUUGGAAUUCCUGGUGUAGCGGUGGAAUGCGCAGAUAUCAGGAGGAACACCGAUGGCGAAGGCAGAUCUCUGGGCCGUAACUGACGCUGAGGAGCGAAAGGGUGGGGAGCAAACAGGCUUAGAUACCCUGGUAGUCCACCCCGUAAACGUUGGGAACUAGUUGUGGGGUCCAUUCCACGGAUUCCGUGACGCAGCUAACGCAUUAAGUUCCCCGCCUGGGGAGUACGGCCGCAAGGCUAAAACUCAAAGGAAUUGACGGGGACCCGCACAAGCGGCGGAGCAUGCGGAUUAAUUCGAUGCAACGCGAAGAACCUUACCAAGGCUUGACAUAUACGAGAACGGGCCAGAAAUGGUCAACUCUUUGGACA
Molecule: ribosomal RNA, 635 nt
Filed under: Microbacterium sp. So2Pt_136
Lineage: Bacteria; Bacillati; Actinomycetota; Actinomycetes; Micrococcales; Microbacteriaceae
Description: bacterial SSU rRNA
Rfam family: Bacterial small subunit ribosomal RNA
Source: RNAcentral